Molecule: ribosomal RNA, 238 nt
Filed under: uncultured bacterium
Lineage: Bacteria
Description: partial 16S ribosomal RNA
Rfam family: Bacterial small subunit ribosomal RNA
Source: RNAcentral
CGGCGGACGGGUGAGUAACGCGUGGGUAACCUACCCUGUACACACGGAUAACAUACCGAAAGGUAUGCUAAUACGGGAUAAUAUAUUUGAGAGGCAUCUCUUGAAUAUCAAAGGUGAGCCAGUACAGGAUGGACCCGCGUCUGAUUAGCUAGUUGGUAAGGUAACGGCUUACCAAGGCGACGAUCGGUAGCCGACCUGAGAGGGUGAUCGGCCACAUUGGAACUGAGACACGGUCCAA